Molecule: ribosomal RNA, 582 nt
Filed under: uncultured Ascomycota
Lineage: Eukaryota; Fungi; Ascomycota
Description: eukaryotic LSU rRNA
Rfam family: 5.8S ribosomal RNA (bases 217-370)
Source: RNAcentral
CUUGGUCAUUUAGAGGAAGUAAAAGUCGUAACAAGGUCUCCGUUGGUGAACCAGCGGAGGGAUCAUUACCGAGUUUACAACUCCCAAACCCCUGUGAACAUACCAAUUGUUGCCUCGGCGGAUCAGCCCGCUCCCGGUAAAACGGAGCGGCCCGCCAGAGGACCCCUAAACUCUGUUUCUAUAUGUAACUUCUGAGUAAAACCAUAAAUAAAUCAAAACUUUCAACAACGGAUCUCUUGGUUCUGGCAUCGAUGAAGAACGCAGCAAAAUGCGAUAAGUAAUGUGAAUUGCAGAAUUCAGUGAAUCAUCGAAUCUUUGAACGCACAUUGCGCCCGCCAGUAUUCUGGCGGGCAUGCCUGUUCGAGCGUCAUUUCAACCCUCAAGCACAGCUUGGUGUUGGGACUCGCGUUAAUUCGCGUUCCUCAAAUUGAUUGGCGGUCACGUCGAGCUUCCAUAGCGUAGUAGUAAAACCCUCGUUACUGGUAAUCGUCGCGGCCACGCCGUUAAACCCCAACUUCUGAAUGUUGACCUCGGAUCAGGUAGGAAUACCCGCUGAACUUAAGCAUAUCAAUAAGCGGAGGA